Molecule: ribosomal RNA, 255 nt
Filed under: uncultured bacterium
Lineage: Bacteria
Description: partial 16S ribosomal RNA
Rfam family: Bacterial small subunit ribosomal RNA
Source: RNAcentral
UACGAAGGGGGCUAGCGUUGCUCGGAAUCACUGGGCGUAAAGGGUGCGUAGGCGGGUCUUUUAAGUCAGAGGUGAAAGCCUGGAGCUCAACUCCAGAACUGCCUUUGAUACUGAGGAUCUCGAGUUCGGGAGAGGUGAGUGGAACUGCGAGUGUAGAGGUGAAAUUCGUAGAUAUUCGCAAGAACACCAGUGGCGAAGGCGGCUCACUGGCCCGAUACUGACGCUGAGGCACGAAAGCGUGGGGAGCAAACAGGG